ACGCACCUUUCGGGGUGAGUGGCAGACGGGUGAGUAACGCGUGGGAACGUACCCUUUUCUACGGAAUAACUCAGGGAAACUUGAGCUAAUACCGUAUACGCCCUUUUGGGGAAAGAUUUAUCGGAGAAGGAUCGGCCCGCGUUGGAUUAGCUAGUUGGUGGGGUAAAGGCCUACCAAGGCGACGAUCCAUAGCUGGUCUGAGAGGAUGAUCAGCCACAUUGGGACUGAGACACGGCCCAAACUCCUACGGGAGGCAGCAGUGGGGAAUAUUGGACAAUGGGCGCAAGCCUGAUCCAGCCAUGCCGCGUGAGUGAUGAAGGCCCUAGGGUUGUAAAGCUCUUUCACCGGUGAAGAUAAUGACGGUAACCGGAGAAGAAGCCCCGGCUAACUUCGUGCCAGCAGCCGCGGUAAUACGAAGGGGGCUAGCGUUGUUCGGAAUUACUGGGCGUAAAGCGCACGUAGGCGGACAUUUAAGUCAGGGGUGAAAUCCCGGGGCUCAACCCCGGAACUGCCUUUGAUACUGGGUGUCUGGAGUAUGGAAGAGGUAAGUGGAAUUCCGAGUGUAGAGGUGAAAUUCGUAGAUAUUCGGAGGAACACCAGUGGCGAAGGCGGCUUACUGGUCCAUACUGA
RNAcentral lists this ribosomal RNA (630 nucleotides) under Shinella fusca. RNAcentral describes it as "bacterial SSU rRNA". It matches the Rfam family "Bacterial small subunit ribosomal RNA", at positions 66 to 743 of the family's 1533-position model. The record is from RNAcentral. Lineage: Bacteria; Pseudomonadati; Pseudomonadota; Alphaproteobacteria; Hyphomicrobiales; Rhizobiaceae.